Micavibrio aeruginosavorus ARL-13 is the source of this 73-nucleotide transfer RNA. It matches the Rfam family "tRNA". From Rfam's summary of the family: Transfer RNA (tRNA) molecules are approximately 80 nucleotides in length. Their secondary structure includes four short double-helical elements and three loops (D, anti-codon, and T loops). Further hydrogen bonds mediate the characteristic L-shaped molecular structure. tRNAs have two regions of fundamental functional importance: the anti-codon, which is responsible for specific mRNA codon recognition, and the 3' end, to which the tRNAs corresponding amino acid is attached (by aminoacyl-tRNA synthetases). tRNAs cope with the degeneracy of the genetic code in two manners: having more than one tRNA (with a specific anti-codon) for a particular amino acid; and 'wobble' base-pairing, i.e. permitting non-standard base-pairing at the 3rd anti-codon position. The record is from Rfam. Lineage: Bacteria; Pseudomonadati; Bdellovibrionota; Bdellovibrionia; Bdellovibrionales; Pseudobdellovibrionaceae.
GGGCCCAUAGCUCAGCUGGGAGAGCGCCUGCAUGGCAUGCAGGAGGUCGUCGGUUCGAUCCCGAUUGGGUCCA